RNAcentral lists this ribosomal RNA (253 nucleotides) under uncultured Gardnerella sp. RNAcentral's name for it is "partial 16S ribosomal RNA". It matches the Rfam family "Bacterial small subunit ribosomal RNA", at positions 103 to 355 of the family's 1533-position model. Lineage: Bacteria; Bacillati; Actinomycetota; Actinomycetes; Bifidobacteriales; Bifidobacteriaceae. The record is from RNAcentral.
CGGGUGAGUAAUGCGUGACCAACCUGCCCCAUGCUCCAGAAUAGCUCUUGGAAACGGGUGGUAAUGCUGGAUGCUCCAACUUGACGCAUGUCUUGUUGGGAAAGUGUUUAGUGGCAUGGGAUGGGGUCGCGUCCUAUCAGCUUGUAGGCGGGGUAAUGGCCCACCUAGGCUUCGACGGGUAGCCGGCCCUGAGAGGGCGGACGGCCACAUUGGGACUGAGAUACGGCCCAGACUCCUACGGGAGGCAGCAGCC